RNAcentral lists this ribosomal RNA (170 nucleotides) under uncultured rumen bacterium. RNAcentral describes it as "partial 16S ribosomal RNA". It matches the Rfam family "Bacterial small subunit ribosomal RNA", at positions 340 to 524 of the family's 1533-position model. The record is from RNAcentral.
UACGGGAGGCAGCAGUGGGGGAUAUUGCACAAUGGGCGAAAGCCUGAUGCAGCAACGCCGCGUGAAGGAAGAAGGCUUUCGGGUUGUAAACUUCUUUUGCCGGGGACGAAACAAAUGACGGUACCCGGCGAAUAAGCCACGGCUAACUACGUGCCAGCAGCCGCGGUAAU